This 1000-nucleotide ribosomal RNA is filed under the name uncultured bacterium. RNAcentral's name for it is "bacterial SSU rRNA". It matches the Rfam family "Bacterial small subunit ribosomal RNA", at positions 355 to 1375 of the family's 1533-position model. The record is from RNAcentral.
UGGGGGAUAUUGCGCAAUGGGGGCAACCCUGACGCAGCAACGCCGCGUGAAGGAUGAAGGUUUUCGGAUUGUAAACUUCUUUUAUUAAGGACGAAAAUUGACGGUACUUAAUGAAUAAGCUCCGGCUAACUACGUGCCAGCAGCCGCGGUAAUACGUAGGGAGCAAGCGUUGUCCGGAUUUACUGGGUGUAAAGGGUGCGUAGGCGGCUUUGCAAGUCAGAUGUGAAAUCUAUGGGCUCAACCCAUAAACUGCAUUUGAAACUGUAGAGCUUGAGUGAAGUAGAGGCAGGCGGAAUUCCCCGUGUAGCGGUGAAAUGCGUAGAGAUGGGGAGGAACACCAGUGGCGAAGGCGGCCUGCUGGGCUUUAACUGACGCUGAGGCACGAAAGCGUGGGUAGCAAACAGGAUUAGAUACCCUGGUAGUCCACGCUGUAAACGAUGAUUACUAGGUGUGGGGGGUCUGACCCCUUCCGUGCCGGAGUUAACACAAUAAGUAAUCCACCUGGGGAGUACGGCCGCAAGGUUGAAACUCAAAGGAAUUGACGGGGGCCCGCACAAGCAGUGGAGUAUGUGGUUUAAUUCGAAGCAACGCGAAGAACCUUACCAGGUCUUGACAUCCAACUAACGAAGUAGAGAUACAUUAGGUGCCCUUCGGGGAAAGUUGAGACAGGUGGUGCAUGGUUGUCGUCAGCUCGUGUCGUGAGAUGUUGGGUUAAGUCCCGCAACGAGCGCAACCCUUGCUAUUAGUUGCUACGCAAGAGCACUCUAAUAGGACUGCCGUUGACAAAACGGAGGAAGGUGGGGACGACGUCAAAUCAUCAUGCCCCUUAUGACCUGGGCUACACACGUACUACAAUGGCUAUUAACAGAGGGAAGCAAUACCGCGAGGAGGAGCAAACCCCUAAAAAUAGUCUCAGUUCGGAUUGCAGGCUGCAACCCGCCUGCAUGAAGCCGGAAUUGCUAGUAAUCGCGGAUCAGCAUGCCGCGGUGAAUACGUUCCC